UUUUUUCCAGAAUGCUCAAAGGAAAAUAUUUUCUUCUCAAUGACCUUGUCAGUUGGGUAGGACAAAUAUUAUUUUGAUCUUUAUUCUCUAGAUCAGGAAACUGAUAGUCAUCAUGUGAUUUGCUCAAGGUCAACCAUCUAGAAAAUGUCAGAACCAACUGAAACCUGAUCUCCUGAUGCCAAACUUUUCUAUUAUAUUAGGAAUUCCUUCCACAUUUAGAGCAAUGUAUGGAUUCAACCAGAAGUUUAAAAAAAACAACCAUGAUAUCCUCUAUAACCAAUACCCAAAAGGAAGAAACUGGAGUAAAUAUAAGAUGAAAACUAUCCUUCCUUGAACAGAUUCAGAAAAACUUGGGAGGACUUUUUUGAACUGCUACAGAGCAAAAUAAGCAAAACCAGGAGAACAAUUUCUAUCAUAACAACAAUAUUGUUUUUAAAAUGACAUGAAAAACAAUGACACAGAUCAUUUCCAUGACCACAACUCCAGAGACUUGGUGAUGAAACAUAUUUACUCAGUGAGAAAGCACUGAUGGACUAAAAAAGCAGAAUAAGACAUACAUUUUUAGUGUGACCUUGUUUUGCUUGAUGCUAUUUAUUUGUCAUAAGGAUUGUGCUUUCCUUUUCUUUCUUUCUCUUUCUUUUUUUUUUUUUGUUUAGGGUGGGUCUGAGAGUUAGAAAUAAUGUUGUCUCAAAAAAAAUAAUGUUGUCUCUUCCCUCAAAAUGGGAGAAGAAAGAAAAAAGUGAUUGAAACAGUUUUUAAAAUGUACAGAAAGAAGUCCAGAUAGAAUCACAAUCAGGACAGCUUUGAAAGUUACAUGUUGAAUAUUUAAAACUAGCUGAACAUAAUAGAGAUGAAUGAUUGCACACAUAAUCCUCUUUUUCUAUUCUGCUUUGAAUAUGAAAAUGUUCAGGGGAAGGGGCAGUAUUUGUUAGAGUUUAAAAAAAAUUUUUAAAGGAAACAUCCUUGUGAUGUCUUGUCUAUAAGAACCAGCCAGGUGGCUAUGGGUUUAGUUUCCAAUCUUCUCUACAAAAAUGGUCAAGAUGACCCAUAAGCAGUAUACUUACAAAUCUGAAAACAAUACAAGGACCUUAAAAUAAGGGCCAAAUUGAACUAGUGUCUGGUCUCUGUUUUUGUCUUGACCUCUCCUUUUUUCUCUGCUUUUAUGCAUGCCUGAAUUGACCUUUAUCUUAUCCUCUCCUUGAUGUUUCUCCUUCAUUUCCCUUGUGCCACCUCCUCUGUGAAGCUCCUCUUGUCUACUUACUUCCCUUCUCAAAUUCUUCAUAGCACUUCAUCUAGAUUUCUCCUAUGCCCUUAUCUUCUCUCCCUUAAAUUAUAGUUAAUAGAUUGUAGACUCCUAAAACCUGUGGUUCAAAACCUCAAAUACUAGUUUUAUAUAAGCUAACUUCAAUGUUAUGGACCUCUCAUUAGCCAUUCCUUGACUUAUUCUAGGCUCCUGGGGGCAUCUGAAUUUAGCUUGUGUUUAGGUGUCCUCAGAUAUAGGUAAAAGAAUCUUAGCUCUUAUGCAAGUUUUCAAGCUAAUAAUAUAUAGAGGACAGAGGAUAGACUUUAUUUUUCCUUACAGAAGAUAUAAAACAUAAAGAACUCAUGCUUGAGCUCAUAAAUAGUCAAGAUAAUUCUCCUCACUGCAGUAAGCUAGAUCUCUUAUAUCUCCCUUUGUAGCUCCAAUAUAGAGUACAGUGCCUUACAUAGAGCAGGUAUUUAAUACUGUAACUGAAGGAACGAAGGAUGAUAAAUGCCUUUUUAAAGACAUGGAAAUUGGGGGGGGGUACGUGUGUGUAGAGGGAGGCCAUAUUUCUCAGCUGAGAGACCUACAGUGGGUUUCUAAGUGAGUUAGCAUCAGCUCCUUCCCUUGAAUUGCUGGGUCAGGAUAUUUGUCAUUUUGCAGCAAUGGAAAAUGCACACAGGGAUUGAAAUGCCCAGUUCAUGCAACAUUGCUCAAAGGAUUUGAGGAUUCCAUUUUGGCACAAAUCCUUUAAUUAAAGUGAAUUCCUUCAGGCCUGGUACACCCAGACUCAAUCUGCAAUGUCCCCAUUGACCUGGGAAAGGCUGAUUAACUGACAAGUUGGCAGUGGAACUACUUCUUCAAAGAUUCUAUGAUAUCUUUGGUAAGACAAACAUGCCCCAGGAUACCAUAUGGCCAUAUUUUUGUGGUAACUUUUCAGAUUCCUCUGCAAAUGUCUCCUGAGGCUAAGGACGAUCUGCUGCUUUCAAUUCAGCAGUUGUUACCAUUGGUCACCUUUCCUCUUCAAGGCAAAGAACCCUUCAGCAAGGAGGUAUUUGGGCAAGCUCAAGAGGGUAAUUGGGCAGGAAAAGUACCAAUCUCCAUCAAGCCUCAAGGCAGCCCAAGGAACUGGAUAUCAGAGAAAUCAGGGUUUUGAAAAAUGGUUCCAAGUUGUCUUUAUGCGGAGUCAACAAUUGGCAAUUCUAUCAAUGAUGUACAUAGGUCUAGUUAGGUUCCACUUAUCAGAAGAAGGAGCUCAAAAAAAAAACACACACACACACACAAAGAAGAAGACAGGCACAUUCUGGAAUAAGGAAAAUAGGGCUGGAAUUAGAUUACUCACAUUCUAUCUGUGGUUAUACUAUUAGCUAGAUUUAGGAAAGUCACUGAAUGUCUUUGAAUUUCAUUUUCCUCAUCUGUAAAGUGGGAAUAAGCCCUACCCUGCAUAGUUCAUAGGAUUGUUGAGAGGGCCAAAUGGAAUGACUCUUAAUUUUUCUUUCCUAGCUCAGAAAAUCUUAGAUAAUAGAUGAGGUAACCCAAUGCAUAAAUCUUUUCAUCUUUUGCUGCUUAAAUAAAACUUUUUUUUAAAUGUUUAAUGACCUGAUCUGAAUAAAUGAAGGGGAAUUGAGGGUCCUUUUUGGAAAACAAAAUAAGCCAAGUACUGAUAUCCCCAGGAUUUGUCUGGUUCUGGAUAUAAGCCAGAGAAAUUUAUAUGAAUGAGCCCAAAAAUUGUAUCCAAGGUUUUGUGUCAGGAUGCUUCAAUGGUAGAAUUAAAUUAAUGCUUUAAAGAUCCAUGUGGGAACUUUUUCCUUUUACAUAGAUCCCAAUCCUCUCUUAGUAGAUAGUCUUGAUAAUUUGCUACUGCUAAAAAAAAUAUUACCCUGUAGCCAACCUGGUGAUGAGCCUUUCCAAAGUCAGCUUGACUGGAUAUGGAACAAUAGGCAGCCUGUACUUUCUGGUGGUAUGUCCUGACUUCUUGAAGUCUCAGUUUGAGCCUUCGUUUAUUACAAAAAAUGGAGCUCAUGAUAAGAAUUCAGUCUUUUCUCCAGGGCUAGGACCUGUCAGAGCUUAUACUCAUCUGCCCUAGCUUUGGUCUUCUCCAUAGCCCCUGAAGAAGACUUUGGGGAAGGGGAUGUUAUAACAUUAUAUAGAAUUGUUAAAUGCCUCAUGCAAAUUUUAGAAAAAGAAAAAAGGAAAGGAAAAGAAUAAGAAAAUUAGAGAAGAGAAUAGAGGGAAAGAAGAUAGGAAGGAAAUGUUUUUCUUUCCUUUGCAGGAGGGAUGAUUACCAAUGCCUACCUGAGGGUUCAUGGCACAGGUCUUUUAUUUGCUAUGAUUAUUUUCACAUUGUUCCCAAUUUUUAGAAAAUCUCAAUAUCUACCUAUUUAUUCCUUCCUGUUCUUGAAAGUCUCCUCCAGGAUGACCUCCCUGAUCCUGAUCUCAACAUUUUGUAAUAACCCUGCUGCUCUGACCCCAUAUGUUACUUUGUUUCUACCUCUCUUAUUUAUUUGAAUGAAUGAAUGAAAAUAUGUUAAGUUCAUACUAUUGGUGAAAUAUAGGUCAUGCAGUAGAUAGAGUGCCAGUCCUGGAGUUGCUACACAGCCAAAUGAAUGCCUCACAAAAUUACUUUUACGGUUUUCCAAGUAUGUGUGAAGUAUUCAGAGAGGCAACUGAAACAUUGCUUUCCUGUGCAGUGAAAACUGAGGAAGAGGGAUUGAAUGGAGGCCUUUUUAAUGCUGUUUGCUUCCCAGGUGACAUUGCUUUGGUAAGAUGCUGAGCAGGUAUGCCUGCAGCUUUCAGAAAAAAUUAGAAGGUUAAGAAAAUGGGGAAGGAUAUGGAGUCAGUCCAGAUUUUUAGAAAUGCUUUUCAGAGACACACUUGCCAUUAUCACUGAGAGCAAUUGUUUGGUGAACCUAGGGUUUUAGAAAAAGAAGACCCCUUAGACAUCAUUUAGUAGCAUCAAACUUAAAUAGAAAUGCAUCCCUGCAGACCACAUAUUGACUUUGAAAACAUCAAAUUUACAUCAUAUAUAUUGUAUUGUGUUUUUAUUUACAUUUCCCAAUUAAUUUUAAUAUGGGGUCCUUCCUAGGGGGCAGCUUUACUACCUCUACUUCCCAAUUAGCGAGGGAAGAGAAGAAGUAACUUGUCAAGAUCAGAUGGAUUGAAAAGGUGAGAUUCAAGAGUCAAACUCAGGACCCCGUGUUCUACACCUCACAGGAGCUGCUUAGACCUCAGCUCUAAGAAAACCACAAUAAAACAAAACAAAAAAAUCCAACCAAAUCCUGGGGCAACAGAACCAAUAGAAGACAAGGGUCAGCAGUGCUCCUUCCCAGAAUGGAAUGAAGGGACAACAAGGAUGGGCCACAUCUCAACAAGGUGGAAGUCGGAACUUGGUCCAGAGGUGGAAAAAGAAAACUAUUCAACCAUGACAAAAAUAUUCAACCCCCAACCUCAAGCAAGCAACCCUCCCUGGCUCCAAUUCAGUGAGGCUGACUCAAGUUCCAGCUGUUUCAUGGCCAUUCCUACCUUAGCAGCCAGCUGUUUUCAGCAGGUUAAAAGCAGUGCCAGCAUCAUCCCAGAGAAUCAAAGCAUCACAUUUGACAACAGUAAAAGAAAUAGAGUUAACUCCUCACAUCCCUCACAUUGUUCUCUUGGAUCCCAGGACUCCUCACUGGGCUGAAUAGCUCUGGUUUGCCUAGAACCAGAGGAGACAGAAAGCAGAACACUGUGAUUCUUAAUCCUCUCUUACUGGUUCACUGUGUAAGCUUUUUAAGCUUCAUUCAAGGCCUCCGUGACCUCAUCUGUUACCUGAGAUCAAACACCUGAUGAAAAUUACACCUCUGAAGCACUCAGAGCCUAAUUGGCCAGUCCCCCAGAAAAAUCUGGUUCUCACAGUUACCUUUCAAGUAAUUGAUGGAAGAUACUGAAUUCUAUUGCUGGUGGAAAGGAAAGGCUCAGAAGUAAUUCUCUAAAGAGACUAGCUCCCCAAACGAACAGGGUGUGAGUUAAUGUCAACAGUAAUUUUCUCGAUUACUCUGCAGAAUGCAGGGCAGAGACUCUCUUUCUAAGAGACACGGAGGCAUUCUUUCAAGAGGCCAGAGAAAAAUUGGAUUUUCUUAAAGAAUGUUCAUGGCUACUUUCAGAUGAGAUUUUUUCAGAUCUUCUCUAGCAAAUCUCCUAGCAGAAUUAUUAAUAUUCCCUCCCGCUGACAGAAAUUUGAUAAUCCUCAAAUAAAAACACCCAAAUCAUAGACGACUGCACACACACACACACACACACAAACACUGUAUGGCCUCAUAAUCCUCAGUCUUAAUAAAAUCUGCUGGCUUUUGGAAUAAAACCUGCAAGUGACAAAUAGAUCAUGGGAAAGCAUCAAGAAGCUGCAGAUAGAAUUUGUCUGUGACCAAACAAGGGAAGUAGAAAUUCAAAUAAGCCACAGAAUUCAUCUCUUCAUUCCCUUGUGAUGAGAUUUUCAAAUUGGGAAGUAAGGAGGGAUUCCUCUUCUCAGCACCACAUGACUCUUAAAUGUUUCUCCUUCUUGCUCUCUCAAUGUUUUUCCUUCCUGUUCUCACACAAGUACUUCUUCCUUUGUUAAUAUAAAUAAAAAUACAUUCAUGUAAUCACUCAGAAUUACAAAGCACUUUAACCAUGUUAUCUAGAUGAGGCAGCUGAAGAAGCAAGUAGGUGGAAUAGUAGAAAGAAUGCUGAACUACGCAUCAGGAAGACCUGGGUUCAUGUCCUGCAUUUAUUAAGCACUAUGUGCCAGGAAUUGUGUUAAAUAUUUUACACUAUUGCAUUCGAUCCUCAAAAUAACCCUGAAGGUAGGUGAUAUUAUUAUCCUAUUUUACUAUUGAGGAAACUGAGGCAGAUAAGACAUCUAGCUGGGAAGUUAAUGAGGCCAAAUUUAAAUUCAGAUUUCCCUAACUCCAGCCCUAGAAUUCUACCCACUGCACCACCUAUCAGUUUUGUACAAUGCAUUGUAUUCAUUUUGUGUAUAUUCUGAAAAUACUUAUAUGUGUAUGUAUUGUAUCCUCCAUUAGAAUGAAAGAUCCUUGAGGACAUGGACUAUUUCACUUUUGUCUUCUUAUCCCCAGCACCCAACACAGUGCUUGGCACACAGUAUUCUAUUAAUACAUGCUUGUUGAUUGACUGAAAACUGUCUCUCAAAAACCCAGUUGUUAACUGGGACCAAAACUCCUCAGUUGUUUCAUUUCUCUAUGGUAUGAUAGAAAGAAGGGUGUAUUUGAAACCAAAGGACUUGGAUUGCCAUCUUGGCUUUGCCACCUAUAAAAAAAUCACUGAAAAUUUAAAUUUAAAUUAAAAAAAAAUUUCAAUCAACAACAAUCUGCCUUCUCUCUGUUCCACCUCUUCUCAGUCCACCCUCACAAAUAGAUCAUGGGAAAGCGUCAAGGAACUGCAAAUAGAAUUUGGCUGCAACCAAACAAGAGAAGUAUACAUUUAUAUAUACACACACAUAUAUAGGUUUCAGACAGAGAUAAGUGACUUGCCCACAGUCACAUAAUUAAUAAGUGGCUAAGAUGGGAUUUGAACUCAGGUCUUCUUGACUCUAAGCCCAGCACUCUAUCCACUGUGCUACCUAGUUAUCCCAAGGCAAGCAGAAAUCCAAAUAAGCUGCAGAAUUCAUUUCCUCAUUCCCUUCGUGACAAGAGACCCAUCCUCACCACACUGCAAAAGUAAGAAAAAUAAAACUCUUGUUACUAUGUUCUUCAUGUUAUGGUCAAGCAAAAGAAAUUCUUACAAUGGCCAUGCCCAAAAAAAUGCAUCUCAUUUUGCAAUCUUAUCUCAUCACCCCUCCUUUAGGAAAUAGGCACCGGUCCUUUCUAACUGGGUGACCUCAUGAGAGUUUAUUUUUCCCUUUGGCCCCCAGUUUCUUCAUCUGUGAAAUGGGGGGAUUAGAGUAAAUAGUCUCAGAGAUCCCUCUUAGCUCUAAAAUCUUUGACUUUCCUAACCCAAGGGUGUGAACUGUCUAACUGGGAUCUUAUCUCUAUAAAAUCCCAAAAGAAGAUUCACAAUUUCCCACAAAGUAAAUCUAAUUUUGUUUCUGCAGAGCUAACAGCAAUAGUUACUUGGGGCAUUAAUUGUGAACAUUAAACUUCAAUUUGGCAAAUACGUGUUGAGAAAUACUUCUGUAGGAGAUACUGAAAAAAAUAAAAUGAUGGUCUUGUCUUCAUGGAGUUUAUAAUCUUGCAAAAGAAGGCUGCAGUAGAUUUAUGCAAUACCUUUCUUAAAGGCGCAUAACAUAAUUUACAAUUUGACUUUUAAAUUUCAUAAUAUUCCUUUCAAGUAGUUAGGAAUUUGAUAUUAUUAUUUCUAUUUCAGAAAUGGGCAGACUGGGACAGAGCAGUUAAGUAACUCAAUUAAAAUCAAAAUAAUUCAGCAAUGAGC
Monodelphis domestica (gray short-tailed opossum) is the source of this 7645-nucleotide non-coding RNA. The record is from RefSeq and is a predicted model, not a curated record. Lineage: Eukaryota; Metazoa; Chordata; Mammalia; Didelphimorphia; Didelphidae.